RNAcentral lists this ribosomal RNA (253 nucleotides) under uncultured bacterium. RNAcentral's name for it is "partial 16S ribosomal RNA". It matches the Rfam family "Bacterial small subunit ribosomal RNA", at positions 524 to 776 of the family's 1533-position model. The record is from RNAcentral.
UACGUAGGGUGCAAGCGUUGUCCGGAAUUACUGGGCGUAAAGGGCGCGUAGGCGGCAUGGCAAGUCAGGAGUGAAAGGCCUGGGCUCAACCGAGGAACUGCUUUUGAUACUGCCAAGCUAGAGUGCGGAAGGGGCAACUGGAAUUCCCAGUGUAGCGGUGAAAUGCGUAGAUAUUGGGAAGAACACCUGAGGCGAAGGCGGGUUGCUGGGCCGACACUGACGCUGAGGCGCGAAAGCCAGGGGAGCAAACGGG